Mus musculus (house mouse) is the source of this 10806-nucleotide long non-coding RNA. RefSeq annotates it as predicted gene, 51857. The record is from RefSeq and is a predicted model, not a curated record. The transcript is spliced from 3 exons. NCBI's taxonomy places the organism in Eukaryota, Metazoa, Chordata, Mammalia, Rodentia, Muridae.
UGUGAAGCAGCAAUGCAAAUAGUUUUAUGGUUGGGGGUCAUCACAACAUGAGGAACUGUACUAAAGGAUGCAUUAGGACGGUUGAGAAUAACUGCUCUGUAGAGUCCUUCAGAGUCUCACUGAAGCAUGGAGAGAAGGUUUUGCUUCUCUGCAUUGCCCCUGUGUCUCAGAAGGGUCAAUGCAUAGAUUAUCUCCUUACCUACAAGAAUCAUUUCCCGAAUCAUUUUCAUGUCAGAUAAAUGCAUAACUAGGGGGUCUUCUUGGGUACCCAGCUCUUUCCCUCUGUACUGAUAUAACGUACACCAUCAUCAGCCAGAUCCCCUAAAGGGUAAAGAAAUGGGGAAAGGAGGUAUGUCAGAGCAGCAAACUCCAGGCUGAAUGUGGAUCAAGUGUAUAAUAUAUCCCCAGGUUUGUUUUAUCUUUGGAGCUGAAGUCAAAGGUAGAUUACAAGGACUUUGAUCCCCCUUAACCACCAUCAUUCCACACAAUCUCCACUCCCAACGCACGGGGAAUAAAAAGAGAGGCUCACUAAGCAUAUACGUCAUCAAAAUAAGUCUUCUACUCCUGUACACUGUGAGGGGAGAUCGAUCUGUGAGUGCCCCAGCAGCGUGUGGAGUCCCUCGCUAACUCUGGAUAACAUCAAAACUGCAUUACAUUGUAGGAAGCUCAGAUAGUGCCAGAACUAGUUGGUGUCAGAAGAGAAAUAGCUUUCCCAUCUUGCGUCAGAAGCAUCGCCAGGGAGAAAAACCCUUGUAUUUCCACAUUUCUCUUUAGUGACAGUCUACAUCAACACUUUUGAUGAAUAACUCACUGGACCAAGCUGUAGCCCUUCCAUUAUGGGAUAUAUUUAGCUAACCAUUCCCCGAGCGACAAUCUGUCAUCCCUAAUAGUGAUAAGAACUAACAUUUGUGCAGCACCUGUGUGUCGGGAUGUCGGCCAAGCCUUUCCACGUAUGGCUCAUUUAACACUAAUAGCAUUUGAGGUUGAUACUGCCAUCUGCAUUCAUAGAUGGGUUAACUGAGGCACAGGGAAGCGGUUUAACUUGCCCCAGAUGUUAGCAAGUAGGAGAGUUGAGAAAAACAACAACAAAAAACUCUAGACACUGUAGCUUCAGUAUGGCCCUCACCACUGAGAACCUGUUCUCCUCCUCCUGUUUCUUCUCCUUACCAAGUAUGCAAAGGCCAGGUGCUGAGAGCCUUCCAGAUGUCUCCAUAGCACCCCAUAGAGCCCAGGCUCUCACAGCUUCUCUAUGUAUUCUUCUAAAGAGCCAAUAACCGAAUCUGUAUCCCAAAUAUGGACACUUGAAAUGUGGGUGCUGCCAAGAAAAUAACUAGGCUGUCUACAAUUUGCCAGAAGCCACAAUUUCUGGCCCAGAACCCAUUUGGCCACUAGGAACCCAGGCACGCUGUAAUCUCCCCAAACCUUGCAUUGCUGGCCACUACAAACCAGCAUAGAAGGGCAGCAGAGUUAGUGAGACUUUCUUAGUGAUCCCACUCUUUCCACAAAGUUCCUUUCCUUUCUUUAGUCAGUGUUUACCUACCACAGACUUAAUUAUCUGCUCUAGAAUUGUCCCAGUAGUUGACAGCAUAAUCACUUAUAUUUAUCUUAAUCACUAAUAACAAUUUGGCCAUGAGACAUCUUUUUGGCAUCCAACUAAAUUUUCUGUGAAUAUGUUGGCCAUCGUCCUUCAGUCCAUUUUUUUUUUAUUUUUUGCGUUUUUCCAAUCCUUGAAAGUGAAUUCUCUGUGUCACCAGGAAGAACACUAGUGUGGAACAGCCAGGACCCUUGAUGAAGCUCCUGGCCCCAUUGGAGCUCUGCGUGCUACACUGCACCACUACAUGCCUCACUCAGAUCUCACUUCCCAAUGGAAGUUGGAAACACAUUCAAUCAGAGUUGGGUCUUGUGAGCCCCACUCUGUGACCAUCGCACCAAGAAUGGGUAGGCAGCAUUCAUUUUCAGUCUCUGGGGGCAUCCUUUCGAGGGCUUGUUCUCAUUCUUAUAUUUCUGGAGCUAAGUGCACCUCAUUUGUAGGGCCCUCGAUUCUAAGUUUGCAUUUGUCUUUGGUGAUAACUCUUGAAGGAAAGACAUUUUUGAAAAAUCAAGAGUCCAAAUUGGCUUGUCUAUGACCUCAGGCAGUUCAUUUAACUUCCCCGAGGCUCACUCUCCUCAACUGGGAAAUGAGAGAAACUUCAUUUGUUUUAUAGGGCGAUUAGGAUGAUUGAGUGCAAAUAGUCAGCCAGGAUGCCUGGUGCAUUGAAGAUGUUCUGCAAACGUUUGCUUUGUUCUAGCAAGCCAGCCUCCACACUCCAACCAUGCAGAUUAUUUUCUGUUGAGAGCUCUGAGGACUCUCCAUUGUCACCCCCUUCUCACUAGCAAUCAUCUUUCUUGAGAGUAUGACUAAGGACUGCCAUGCCCAUCUUUCUUUCCCUGUUCACUUAAAAAUGUCAAUGGACUGUCUGUGCUUAAACGUUCUUGACGAUCCCCUGAUAAACUUAGAUCUUGAAGGAAGGCAGUUUUGCCCUUGGAACCCACACUUCUGCCAUCACAACAUCUCAAGAAUCAAAGGACUUUUGCUCUGAAAGUCCACUUCAUGGCAGAAUCGUUACCCAUAAUAAUGAUAGGUCUGGACAAAAUAAUCUUCCCAGUGUGAGGCAGCCAAAUCCCUUGGCCUAGAAAUCAGGCUUAAUUGGAAAUUAAAUUGCAUUUCCAUGCCACCUGCGGGAUGCCUCUAUCCACAGCUAAUUUAUCAAUGUGAUGCCUUAUCUGGAGGGAGCCCAUGGGAAUGGAGUGGCUGCCUCAGCAAAAUUGCAAGCUUUUACCCAAUGAAAGAACUUCCUUUGCUAUUUAGGCUGAACUCUUGGAGUUUCUCAUUUGAAGCUUUAUGUGCCCAUUAGCCACUUUUUCUGCCAAGUGCUAUGACAGGAUCUAGGAAUAUGGGCAACAAUUGGACCUGGCUCCAUGUUGUAGUGUUCAUGGUCCAUCGAUGGAAGACUCAUGCAGGCAAAACAUUCCAAAGCCACAGCACUUAGUCAUCUGGUGCUGAGCAGCACUGAGAGGUAGAAAAGGACACUGAAUGGACUCGGAUACAGGAUUCCAUCUUUGUCUACUUGUCUUGAACAGUGAUGCUGAUAUUUUGCAGUGGUUGGGGCUUUCCAGCUUCUUCACCAAGCUCUGAACACUUCAUUGCAUCCUGUGGGCAACUGUGAGAAACAGAUAGACUAAGGCUUUCAUUAUCCCUGGGAUCUUUACUGAUGAAGAGCCCAAGGCUUAGAAAGUAAGUUGCUUGCUUGAGGUCACUACCUUGUACAGAACUGGGAUUGAAACUCAGGUAAUUUCUACAGAGCCUUUGCCUUUGAACUUUAUACUCUAGUAUACUCUUAUUUCCAUCAACUUUCAGAUUUGAAAAUGUCUGACUAUGUCGGGGGUUAUUAGCAUGUGUAGCGCUUUUCCUGAUUCAGAGAUUAUCAGUUCUUUACUAGAAUUGCACUCUCUGGCUUUCUGUGACUCUCUUUCCCUCUAUGUAACUCCCCUCUUCUCUGUCUGUCUGUCUGUCUGUCUCUGUGUGUGUUCAUGUGUGUAUAUGUGAAUAUCUGUAUAUAAUUUGAGAAUUAAAUUCACAAAUAUAAAACCCAGGACACAGAGAUCAAUUUGUCUGAAUAAAAUAUGCAUGUAAGAGGGACAGACUGAUGUCAUGGUUUGGGCUGGGAAGACCAGACCAACUCUUACAUAGAGUGGACAGCAUAUAUUUAACAAGAUUAUAGCAGAGAAUUUCCCAGAUCCAGGGAGAGAGAUGGCUACCAGACCAAAGGGUCUUAGAACUCCAAACCGACAACACAGCAAAGACAUAAACACAUUAUGCUUUAGUUAAAGCACUAUUAAUAUGGAACAAAGAAAGAAUAUGGAAAAUGACAGAAGAGAAACUCCAAGUCACAUAUAAAGACAAAUUCAUCAAAAUAUAGAGAUUUCUGAAGAGAAACUCUAAGAGCCAUCAGGGCAUGAAAUGAUGUAUUUCAAGAUCUGAAAGACAAUAACUGCCAGCCUUGAUGAUUAUACACAGCAAAGCUACUCCUAAUGAUAGAAGAAAAUGGAAGACUUUCUGUUAAACACAAACUAGAAGACUCUAUGAUUACAGAAGAUACAGAAGGAAUCUUACACACUGAAGAGAAAUAUAAACACACCCAUGAGGUCACAGGGAAGAAUAAAUUGCACCAAAAUAGAAAAGCAACUAAGGGUUAGUAAAGCACCAACCAAUAUGAAAACAACAAAGCAACGGAAAUUAGCACAUACCUUUCACUAGCAACUCGUGAUGGUUCCUGUUCUCUGAUUAUAAGACACACAACAGCAGGUUGCAUAGAAAAUAGGACCUAACUGUUAGUUAUCUUUAAGAAAUGUACCUUAUUGCCAAAGACAAGGAAGCCUUAGGGUGAGAGGUUGGAAAAAGGUAUUCCAAUCAAAUUGAACUGAAAAAAAAAAACCAGGUAUAGUUAUACUAGUAUUUCACAAACUAGAUGUCCAACUAAAGUAAAAGAGACAAAGAUAAUGUAAGGGGAAAAAAACCUCCUAAAUUUCUAAACCUACACACAUCAAACUCAGUGUAGUCAGCUUUAUAAAGCAAACACUACUUGCUGGAAAGGCACUGACUGACCUCAAAAAAUAUUUUUUUAUGAGUGACUACAAUAAUCCACCCUUAAUAGCAGACUGGUCAGUCAGAACAACAGACAAGCAUACGAACAAACAAACAAACAAAAUCUUCCCAGAGCUAAAUGAUAUCACAGAUUAAAUGGAUUUAAUAGCAUCUACAGAAUAUUAUACCCAAGUACUACAGAAUACACAAUAUUUUUCUGAAGCCCAUAGAAUUUUCUCUAAAUUGAACCAUAUUUUAGAACAUGAAUCAUUUCCUAACAGAGACAAGAAAAUUAAAAUGAUUUCACAUAUCUUAUCUGAUCACAACAAAACAAGAUAGGACAUCAACUAGAAGAGAAACUACAAAAAAUAUUGAAAUCCUUGGAGACUUAAGAAGACACUAUUUAAAGUUAACUAAUGGGUUAUUAAAGAAAUCAGGAAGGAAAAUGUAAAACUUGUAGAAUCAAAUAAUGAUGAAAAUACAACAUAGCAGGACCUGUGACUUCCCAUGAAAACAGUUUUAUGAGUGAAUUUUAUAGCUAUAUAUUUUAAAAAUCAAAUGAUCUCGAACAAGCAACUUAAUGAUGCACCCAGUGUCUGAGAACAUUAUGAAGCUAAACCCGUAAUCAGUGUAUGGAAAGAAAUAAGAAACACCAAUGCAGAAAUUAAUGAAACAGAAAUGAAAAUAACACAACAAAGAACCAUCAAACAAAGAGUUCUUGAAAAAAAUAAUAAAUAAACAAGACCUCACAAAGCCUUAGUUAAACUUCCACAAAAAAAAGACCCCAAUUAAUUAAAUUAGAGAUGAAAGGGAAAACCAUAUAACAAGUACCAAUGAAAUGUAGAAGCUCAUUAGCGCAUACUCUGCAAAGCCACUUUCAUAUAAAUCUGAAAACCUAAAAGAAAUGAACAUAUUUCUAGACUAACCUACUAAUGUCAGCCAACAGGACUUAAAGCACUUCAACAGAUAUAUUGCAAGCUGUAAAUUUAAAUCAGUAAUAAAAUUGUCUCCUAACUGUAAAGCCCAGGCCUGGGGCGGGGGAGUAUUUCACAGAUGAAUUCUAAAAAGUCUUUAAAGAAAAAUUAAUAUCAAUGCUUUUUAAAUUCUUCUACAAAACAGAAAAGAAGGGAAUGCCACCAAGCUCAUUUUAUGAAAUCAGGAUUAUCCCGAUAAUCAAACUGGAUCUGGACAUAACCGAAAGGAAAAUUAUCAGCAAAUCUGCCUGAUGAACAUGAAUGUAAAAUUAUUAUUAUUAGUAGUAAAAUUCUUACAAAUCAAACUCAAUGAUACAUCAAAAGAUCAUUCAUCAUGAUCAAGUUCCAUUUAUUCCAGAGAUCAAAGAUGGUUUCAAUGUAGACAUAGAUUGAAGGACAGAAAUUAUAUGAUCAUAUUGCUAGGUAAAGAAAGGCCUUGGACAAAGUCCAGCCUCUUUUCAUAAAAACCCGAGGAAGCUAAGAAAAGAGUGAGCCUAGAUCCAACAUCACUCUAAAUGCAGAAAAACUCAAAGCACCUCCUCGAAAAUCAGGAAUAAGACAGGAUCCUUCCCUUUCUUUACUUUUGUUCAAUAGAGUACUUGAAGUCUUAGUUAGAGCAAUAAGACAAGAUGUGUAAUUAACAGGGACACAAAUAGGAAAGAACUCUGGCUAUAUAAAAAUGAACUUCAAAUAACUCCCACUCCCAACUAGAACUUAGGUUAAUUUAGCUCGUUUCUUUUCUAAUACACAUUUCCCACAUGCACAUCUGUUCACUGAUUGGAAACACGUGCUACAAGGGAUUUUUACCUAUAGCUCUCCACUGGGCUUCACACUCUGCAGUUCCAUAAGUUCUGUUGUCGAAGUCUAUGUUCAGAGGUGAAACAAAAUACAUGUUAAGCACUAGUUUGUUUUACUGACGUUUAGAUCAUCUCUAACUUUCCCUUAAACAAUGUGACAAUAUUAUGGUAGACACCUCUGAAUGCUGGUCAACAUGCAGUACACGUCUUGUGGUAAGCCUAGGAGACAGUGCCUGAUUAAAGUUGGAUGAACAGUCUCCUGUCUGGCCCAGGCUUUGUCUGGUAGUGGUGGGGGAAGAGAGAAAUGGAAAGGACUAGGGCUGCUUAGGCAGAGCUGAGAGAAGUGGUAGCACUGGAGUUCAGGGAUGAUUCUGGGAAAAAAAGGCUAAAGUGGCAGACAGGAGAUGACUCAUGGUUCCAGUCAGGAACUUCUAAGAGAAAUAGUGAAGUUAGGAGACAGGAAGAUUGGCUAUGGCUUUCUGAGGGGUCAGCAGAGGUCACAGGUGUCCAUUUAAGUAGAAAGGUCUAAUGACUUUCUCCCCUUUUCUCCUUUUCCCUCUCUCCCCCUCCUUUUCUGUCCCUCUCCCCAUCCUCUGAGCUCCCCUGUGCCAGACCUUGUGUUGACUGAUGAGCAUCCCUAAGUAACAAGACAUGGCCCCUGCCAGACCACAGGCUUCCAGUCUAACCAAAGAGUCACCUGUAGGCCUGGCAUGUAAGGAAAGAGUCCAGGGAAGGGGAACUUGGGAGUCCCUUCUCAGGUAAGUUCGAUGACUGGAGUUGGGUGGGGUGGUUGCUGUGUCUGAGGUAUGAAGAGUCUUCUGGAGAGCUACCAUUUGUGGGAGGAGCCAAGUCAUACUAUCCCCACACCCCAGGCACCUUUUGGAGAAGGCUCUGCCUUGAGGGCACGUAGCUCAAGGAGCUAGCUUGUUUUGUCCUCAGUUUCCCUGUACCAAGGAGGCUGAUAGUAGAGCUAUCUUGACUGUGCAAUCAUGGCCUUGACUUUGCUCUCUCAUAGCCAUCUCAGGCUCUCAGGAGCAUGUUUGUACUCCAAAGUCUAAGAUGCAGUCAUCAUGGAGACAAUGUCUCUCACCUGCUCUUUGUCUACGUCAUGGUGCCCUGGGAGACUGACGCCAUCAGGGGCUGGCAGAUACUCUCCUGGGUCCAGCUUUCAGUUUGUAGAGUGUGUGAUUGUUCUGCCAGGAGACUUCAUGAAUGAGGCUGGCUCUUUUGAUAAGGGCAGCAGUCCCAUGGGAUCAGGGCUGGUGCCUGAGUGACCUCAUUAAAUACUUCGUUCAAGGUCCCUUCUCCAAAUAUAACCACAUUGGCGGGUUAAAACUUCAGAAUGUGAAUUUUAUGAGGGGGCACUGUUUAAUCUACAACAGAAGUCUGUUCCUCUAAAACAAGUCACAGCUCUGAUCUUCUAUGUGACAUUGGCAAGUGCUCCAAGCUUCCAGGCAUGGCCGAUAAGAACAGAAAGCUCCCAAGGGGAACUGGAGUUAAGUUCCUUCUAAAGCCACAGGAGCAAUUGUCAUUCCUCUUGUUUCUGUCACACUUGGAAUAGCAGGCCACCAGUCCAAUUCUUGUGAGUGGUGAGCAGAACUCACCAGCACAUCUGUGAAUCUCUGCAAAUCCAAUAUGCCUCAUGACUUAGAGAUAUCCCGAACACUGAGCGACAGUUCCAAGCUGAUGUGUGCAGAUACUGAGAAGCAAGCCUGUGGACUUGGUUUGGCCGGCUAAGCACGGGAGGUUUGAGAACUGUCACUCAAACUGACCCAGGUUAAUCAAAAGAUUACAUAAAAAAUGUGAGAUAGGCUAACCCCAGCCUCUUUGAGAAAAGCUCCAGGGUUCUAUCUCCCUACUGGUUCUUGCUUAUUUCUCUUCCACCAAACAACUUCAUCUAAGCAUGGAAUGAAAAUUGGUCAGACUGGACUCCCAGCUGGAAAUACUUGCUGAGUGGUGUUUUCUCCCUUCUCCCUGAAGUUCUGACUGCUUGGCCAAUUUUCCCUCACUUUCUGUUAUUUGACUGAAACCAACCUGUAAGUAAUGGUGUUGAGAGCUCAGGACUGGAGGCUGGCAGCCUUCUCUGAAAAUGUGAUUCUUCAGUCUCAAUGAAGCUCUUGACAGCAAAACUCCAGAUUCCAAAGUGGCUUCCCUGAAGAGAUCCAGCUGCUACAACAAUUCUCAACAGACUCACUGGCACAAUGAAUAGGAAGCUGGGGUGGAGGACUCUCUGCUGACAGGAUGAGGAGCAGCUUGGUGGGGCUUCUACAGCUUCAUGAGUGAAGAAGAAUGCGCCUGCUUUGGCUCCAUGGGACCUGGUGUCUAGUGCCAGCUCUACCACUUUCCAGCUGGGCCAGGAAAAUUCGCAUCUGUAAAAUAAUAUGUGUAUUAUUUGAGUGUGGCCCAUAGGAGGUAGGUGCUCAGUUCAUAAAUGUUGAUAAAAUAUCUCCAUCCUCACGUACUUAAAUACUAACCUUUCCUCUCUAGCAAAGUCUGUGUAUCUCUUACACCACACACACACACACACACACACACACACACACACACACACACACACACACUGCCCUUUUGAUACAAACUUCCCUUUGCUGACUCACUUUCUCGUGUUCACCUCUCUGUUGCACAGCGUCACUCUCUGGGGUAUAGACCCACUUACAGUUAUCUAAAGAGUUUCUGACCUUGGUACUAGAGAGGGGUGGGUCUGAGACCUCUACCAUACAUGCAUACCCAUCUCAGCCCCUGAACCCCUUCUUGAUAUCCUGAUACAGCCAAGCAUUCCAUGAAGGGAGUCCACGUGUGGAUUUCCUGGACCCUUGCAACAGUACCCAGAGAUAGUCAGGAGGAAAUGAAUUCAUUUUACAGAUUUAACCAACCAACCAACCAAACAAACAAACAAAAACCGAGCCACAGAGAGGCCAUUGCCAGGUGGCAACACCAGAGUGGAACCGUUCCUCUAUCCGGGCUGGAGUUCUUUCUGGGACACGUUGGGGAGUGGAGGUGGCGUAGGAUGUUACUUUACCUGUCAGUCCCUCAGUCCCAGAGGCUCUAGAACACACUCACAUGUAUGAGGACAAAUAGCGAACUUCUCUAAGUCACAGCUCCCUGCCUUUUCCUCCUGGAAUUGAAGCCACUGAACAUUGCUGCAGCUGUGCUCUGUGUAUGUUCUGUUCCCAGCUCCAGGCCUCCUAACCCCCAACACUAGAUGCUCAGUCCCCCAGGGGAUCCUGGAAGGACAAUGUCCUAGUUCUGGAAGGACCACUGAAAGGUAAGAUUAGGGAGAGAUGGGAGGAGGCUCUCAUGAUUCUCCCCACACCAGCCACGCAAUGGACACCGGCCAACCCUAUGCAGCUGGGUAUCUGGGCGAUGUCAUGAGAGAUGGCCACCCAGAGCUUUUGCCUCCUCGAAUUGCCUGGGUCUGUGGGCUUCAGUCCCUGAAUAUUGAGUCUGCAGAUUCCAGCGUCUCUUUCCCCCCACCUCCCCCCAAAAAACUCAUUCUCCCUUUGAGAGGGCAUGAAUAUUUAAAGAGAUUUUUCCAGCCACCAGAACCGCAACACAUUGCUGCUCUUCCUUUAAAUUUAUGUCCAGAAAGUUUGCCCGAGUUCCUCUCCAUGUCCCACCCUCCGUAGCAUGGAAUAUCGAAUGGAGUUCCUGAGAAGUUUGUUUCCUUUUUGCCAGGAGGGUUAUCAGGGCUGUUGGCUGUGUUUAGGGGCUGAGGAUGUGUGUGUAGUCCUCCUGAUUCUCCUCCAUGGCCACACAGAGAGUUAAAUCUGAAAACCUCCUGACACUUCAGUACUUGGAGAAGCAAGAUAAUCAUGCAUGGGGAGGAACAGUCGUGUGAGACAGCAGAUCAGUGGACAGAGUCCAGGCGCACAGGACCCCCGGGUCCCAUGGGGCCAGCCUCAGCAGUGACUGCUGAACUGAUCAGGGUUCUGAGUUUGUUACUGCAUAAUGACUACUCCAGCCCCUGGGCCACCUCCUGCUGGCCUCCUUCAGCAUCUCUGCUGGGCAGAAUUCCUCUCAGCCCACUGCAUCAAACCUCUCUCUUAUCAACAAGACACCAUACUCCCAGGAUAAGUUUUUAAAACUCCAGUCACGCAAAGCUGCUCCCGAGACUCCGGGAGGGUUCCGUUCCUCUGUCCAUCUAUAACCAAUCAGCUACACAUCACCAACUCUAUUUCUAAAGUUCCGGGCAAUUACAGCCUUCUGAGCUCCCUGGCUGGGCGCCCACCCACCCAGAGCCAGGGCCCAGGUUGUCAAUGGACUCUAGUCUCAGGCGCUUAUUUCUCAUCCUUCUUAGAGUCAAGACUACUGCGCACCAGGAAUGAUACACUCAGCACACCGAGGCAAAGUGACCAGUCAGGUCACAUCAAAGCAGGGCGCAGUAGUGGAAGCCAGUCUCCCUACCUUUGCU